RNAcentral lists this small RNA (286 nucleotides) under Paraburkholderia sabiae. Its description in RNAcentral is "5_ureB_sRNA". It matches the Rfam family "5' ureB small RNA". Lineage: Bacteria; Pseudomonadati; Pseudomonadota; Betaproteobacteria; Burkholderiales; Burkholderiaceae. The record is from RNAcentral.
CUUCGUCGAUCUGCUGCGGGCUGAUGAAGUGGAUGUGCGUAUCGAUGCCGCCCGCCGUCACGAUCAUGCCUUCGCCCGCGAUCACUUCCGUCGCCGCGCCGAUCGCGAUCGUCACGCCGGGCUGGAUGUCAGGAUUGCCCGCUUUGCCGAUGGCUUCGAUGCGGCCGUUCUUGAUGCCGAUGUCAGCCUUGACGAUGCCCCAGUGAUCGAGAAUCAGCGCGUUCGUGACGACGGUGUCGACCACGUCCGCCGCGACGCGCUGCGACUGGCCCAUGCCGUCGCGUAU